AGCAGCCGCGGUAAUUCCAGCUCCAAUAGCGUAUAUUAAAGUUGUUGCAGUUAAAAAGCUCGUAGUUGAAUUUCGGGAUCAAUUCGUCGGUCGUGCUUUUUGGUACGUACUGGUGUUAUUGGUUUCUCCCUUCUGACAAGCCAUGAUGUCAUUAAUUUGGUGUUAUGGGGAGUUAGGACUGUUACUUUGAAAAAAUUAGAGUGUUUAAAGCAGGCAUUAGCUUGAAUACAUUAGCAUGGAAUAAUGAAAUAGGACGUUCGAACCUAUUUCGUUGGUUUCUAGGAUCAACGUAAUGAUUAAUAGGGAUAGUUGGGGGCAUUAGUAUUCAAUUGUCAGAGGUGAAAUUCUUGGAUUUAUUGAAGACUAACUACUGCGAAAGCAUUUGCCAAGGAUGUUUUCAUUAAUCAAGAACGAAAGUUAGGGGAUCGAAGACGAUCAGAUACCGUCGUAGUCUUAACCAUAAACUAUGCCGACUAGGGAUCGGAUGAUGUUAAUUUUUUAAUGACUCAUUCGGCGCCUU
RNAcentral lists this ribosomal RNA (520 nucleotides) under uncultured Glomeromycotina. RNAcentral's name for it is "SSU rRNA". It matches the Rfam family "Eukaryotic small subunit ribosomal RNA", at positions 569 to 1089 of the family's 1831-position model. Lineage: Eukaryota; Fungi; Glomeromycota. The record is from RNAcentral.